This 100-nucleotide non-coding RNA is filed under the name Clostridium tepidiprofundi. RNAcentral's name for it is "Guanine sequence". It matches the Rfam family "Purine riboswitch aptamer". From Rfam's summary of the family: Riboswitches are metabolite binding domains within certain messenger RNAs that serve as precision sensors for their corresponding targets. Allosteric rearrangement of mRNA structure is mediated by ligand binding, and this results in modulation of gene expression. RNAcentral also lists the same sequence under 1 other name. The record is from RNAcentral. Lineage: Bacteria; Bacillati; Bacillota; Clostridia; Eubacteriales; Clostridiaceae.
AAAAAUGAAUACUUAGUUCAUAAUAUAUUUCUGAUAAUAUGGUUCAGAAGUUUCUACCAAAGGCCGUAAAUCUUUGACUAUUAUGAAUUAUGGGGACAUU